CACCGGCGCCAGUCAAAAUCUGCUGCUGUGCCUGAACCCUGAUUCUGUCUGCACUUUCAAUAAACCAGACAACAGACACCCCAUCACAGACACAACAUGGCUCUAUGGGGACUCCCGUUUUACCUCAGGGAACCAAAUCUCCAAGAUUUAUUUGGACAUUGAUAAAGAGGAGUGAAACUGGGCAUCCUUGAAGCCAUGGAGGAUGACCUCUCACAGAGAACUAAGAGAUGACUAAACUUCUGCAUCAUCCUGGAGGAAACUGUGGUAAUGGAGGACCAUCUGACUUUCCCACUGCUUUAAUGGUACUCUUUGGACUUCUCUAUGUGCUGAUUAUUGACUUUCCAAAAGGACUAAAAUACACAUUUGAGUGUUUCACAGAUAGGUGCACUUCUAUUUUA
Sinocyclocheilus rhinocerous is the source of this 398-nucleotide long non-coding RNA. RefSeq lists it as uncharacterized. The transcript has 3 exons. Lineage: Eukaryota; Metazoa; Chordata; Actinopteri; Cypriniformes; Cyprinidae. The record is from RefSeq and is a predicted model, not a curated record.